This is a long non-coding RNA of Suricata suricatta (meerkat), 671 nucleotides long. RefSeq lists it as uncharacterized. The transcript has 3 exons. The record is from RefSeq and is a predicted model, not a curated record. NCBI's taxonomy places the organism in Eukaryota, Metazoa, Chordata, Mammalia, Carnivora, Herpestidae.
AUGCUGUCUCUCUCUAUCCCUCAAAAAUAAAUUAAAAACAUUAAAAAAAAAAAAAGUACCGAGAAAUGAAAUGAAGGUGGUGGCAUUCAGGCUCCCGUACGGAUGGAGGGGAGUGGAUUGGAGGGAGAGGGCAGGACUUCGCGUGGACGCUCUGACAGAACACAGCUGGCGAUGUGGCCACGUCUGAAGUCUCCUUUCAAAAGAGCUCAGGUGGAGGGAGCCGCCCCGAUCCGGAGGAGAAGUAGCAGAGCGACGCUCCCCAGCACAGCUUGUCCUGCGCCAGCAGUGCCUCCGGCCCUUCCUCGCCAGGACACAGGUCUCUGCCAAGAAGAACUCAUGGAAGCAGGUCAGGUGUCUGUCUUGGCCCUCAAGUUCAUGGCCACCCUCUUGCCGAAAUAGACUGAUACCUGCUUUCACUCGGAACCAGCCAUGUUCCUGUUCAGGCCGACACUCAGUAGAGUCUGGGACAUCUGUUUUGAAGGUGAUCCACGGCCUCCUCCUGGUCCGAAGGUCACCUGUUUGCCAUCUGGGAAUUCACUUCGGGUCUGGGAGCCCCUCCUGGUUGCUUUGGUUCUGAAGAGAAUCUGGGUCUGGAGAUUGAAGGGUGAGGGGAAACCAUCGUGAGGAGGGGGCAUGUGUUGGGGCCCAGCAGGCCAAAAAACCUCCUGCAG